This 254-nucleotide ribosomal RNA is filed under the name uncultured bacterium. RNAcentral describes it as "partial 16S ribosomal RNA". It matches the Rfam family "Bacterial small subunit ribosomal RNA", at positions 524 to 776 of the family's 1533-position model. The record is from RNAcentral.
UACGGGGGGAGCAAGCGUUGUUCGGAUUUACUGGGCGUAAAGGGCGCGUAGGCGGCCACCGCAAGUCGACUGUGAAAGCCCGGGGCUUAACUCCGGGUCUGCAUUCGAUACGGGCAGGCUAGAGUUCGGUAGGGGAGAUCGGAAUUCCUGGUGUAGCGGUGAAAUGCGCAGAUAUCAGGAGGAACACCGGUGGCGAAGGCGGAUCUCUGGGCCGAUACUGACGCUGAGGAGCGAAAGCGUGGGGAGCGAACAGG